ACGCUGGCGGCGUGCCUAAUACAUGCAAGUAGAACGCUGAAGCUUGGUGCUUGCACCGAGCGGAUGAGUUGCGAACGGGUGAGUAACGCGUAGGUAACCUGCCUGGUAGCGGGGGAUAACUAUUGGAAACGAUAGCUAAUACCGCAUAACAGUCGACAUUGCAUGAUGUUGAUUUGAAAGGGGCAAUUGCUCCACUACCAGAUGGACCUGCGUUGUAUUAGCUAGUUGGUGAGGUAACGGCUCACCAAGGCGACGAUACAUAGCCGACCUGAGAGGGUGAUCGGCCACACUGGGACUGAGACACGGCCCAGACUCCUACGGGAGGCAGCAGUAGGGAAUCUUCGGCAAUGGACGGAAGUCUGACCGAGCAACGCCGCGUGAGUGAAGAAGGUUUUCGGAUCGUAAAGCUCUGUUGUAAGAGAAGAACGAGUGUGAGAGUGGAAAGUUCACACUGUGACGGUAACUUACCAGAAAGGGACGGCUAACUACGUGCCAGCAGCCGCGGUAAUACGUAGGUCCCGAGCGUUAUCCGGAUUUAUUGGGCGUAAAGCGAGCGCAGGUGGUUAGAUAAGUCUGAAGUUAAAGGCUGUGGCUUAACCAUAGUACGCUUUGGAAACUGUUUAACUUGAGUGCAGAAGGGGAGAGUGGAAUUCCAUGUGUAGCGGUGAAAUGCGUAGAUAUAUGGAGGAACACCGGUGGCGAAAGCGGCUCUCUGGUCUGUAACUGACGCUGAGGCUCGAAAGCGUGGGGAGCAAACAGGAUUAGAUACCUUGGUAGUCCACGCCGUAAACGAUGAGUGCUAGGUGUUGGGUCCUUUCCGGGACUCAGUGCCGCAGCUAACGCAUUAAGCACUCCGCCUGGGGAGUACGACCGCAAGGUUGAAACUCAAAGGAAUUGACGGGGGCCCGCACAAGCGGUGG
Molecule: ribosomal RNA, 920 nt
Filed under: uncultured bacterium
Lineage: Bacteria
Description: bacterial SSU rRNA
Rfam family: Bacterial small subunit ribosomal RNA
Source: RNAcentral